CCUCGGGGGGCAGCAGUGGGGAAUAUUGCACAAUGGGCGCAAGCCUGAUGCAGCCAUGCCGCGUGUGUGAAGAAGGCCUUCGGGUUGUAAAGCACUUUCAGCGGGGAGGAAGGCGAUAAGGUUAAUAACCUUGUCGAUUGACGUUACCCGCAGAAGAAGCACCGGCUAACUCCGUGCCAGCAGCCGCGGUAAUACGGAGGGUGCAAGCGUUAAUCGGAAUUACUGGGCGUAAAGCGCACGCAGGCGGUCUGUCAAGUCGGAUGUGAAAUCCCCGGGCUUAACCUGGGAACUGCAUUCGAAACUGGCAGGCUAGAGUCUUGUAGAGGGGGGUAGAAUUCCAGGUGUAGCGGUGAAAUGCGUAGAGAUCUGGAGGGAUACCGGUGGCGAGGGCGGCCCCCUGGACAAAGACUGACGCUCAGGUGCGAAAGCGUGGGGAGCGAACAGGAUUAGAUACCCCUGUAGUC
Molecule: ribosomal RNA, 464 nt
Filed under: uncultured bacterium
Lineage: Bacteria
Description: bacterial SSU rRNA
Rfam family: Bacterial small subunit ribosomal RNA
Source: RNAcentral